AGAGUUUGAUCAUGGCUCAGAGCGAACGCUGGCGGCAGGCUUAACACAUGCAAGUCGAACGGGCACUUCGGUGCUAGUGGCAGACGGGUGAGUAACGCGUGGGAACGUGCCUUUCGGUUCGGAAUAAUCCAGGGAAACUUGGACUAAUACCGGAUACGCCCUUCGGGGGAAAGAUUUAUCGCCGAAAGAUCGGCCCGCGUCUGAUUAGCUAGUUGGUGAGGUAAAGGCUCACCAAGGCGACGAUCAGUAGCUGGUCUGAGAGGAUGAUCAGCCACACUGGGACUGAGACACGGCCCAGACUCCUACGGGAGGCAGCAGUGGGGAAUAUUGGACAAUGGGCGAAAGCCUGAUCCAGCCAUGCCGCGUGAGUGAUGAGGGCCUUAGGGUUGUAAAGCUCUUUUGUCCGGGAAGAUAAUGACUGUACCGGAAGAAUAAGCCCCGGCUAACUUCGUG
This 453-nucleotide ribosomal RNA is filed under the name uncultured bacterium. Its description in RNAcentral is "bacterial SSU rRNA". It matches the Rfam family "Bacterial small subunit ribosomal RNA", at positions 8 to 507 of the family's 1533-position model. The record is from RNAcentral.